AGUGAACGCUGGCGGUAGGCCUAACACAUGCAAGUAGAACGGCAGCACAGUAAGAGCUCGCUCUUACGGGUGGCGAGUGGCGGACGGGUGAGGCAUACAUAGGAAUCUACUUUUUCGGGGGGGAUAACGUAGAGCGACAUAUGCUACUACCGCAUACGACCUACCGGUGGACGCAGGGGAUCUUGGGACCUUGCGCGAAUGAAUGAGCCGAUGUCGGAUUAGUUAGUUGGCGGGGUAAAGGCCGGCCAAGCCAACGUACGGUAGCUGGUCUGAAAGGAUGAUCACCCACAUGGGAACUGAGACACGGCCCAGACUCCUACGGGAGGCGCCAGAGGGGAAUAUUGGACAAUGGGCGCAAGCCUGACCCAGCCAGACCGCGUGGGUGAAGAAGGCCUUCGGGUGGUAAAGCCCUUUUGUUGGGAAAGAAAAGCAGCAGGUUAAUACCCCGCUGUUCUGACGGUACCCAAAGAAUAAGCACCGGCUAACUUCGUG
RNAcentral lists this ribosomal RNA (492 nucleotides) under uncultured bacterium. RNAcentral describes it as "partial 16S ribosomal RNA". It matches the Rfam family "Bacterial small subunit ribosomal RNA", at positions 29 to 507 of the family's 1533-position model. The record is from RNAcentral.